RNAcentral lists this long non-coding RNA (382 nucleotides) under Mustela putorius furo (domestic ferret). RNAcentral describes it as "lncRNA (ENSMPUG00000024901.1)". The record is from RNAcentral. Lineage: Eukaryota; Metazoa; Chordata; Mammalia; Carnivora; Mustelidae.
GCUCAUAUUAACUGUGGGGUUUUCAUAUAUAGCCUUUAUUAUGUUCAGGUAUGUUCCCUCUAAGCCUACUUCUUUUUUUUUAUGUUAUGUUACUCACCAUACAGUAUGUCAUUUGUUUUUGGUGUAGUGUUCCAUGAUUCAUUGUUCACAUGUAACACCCAGUGCUCCGUGCAAUGUGUGCCCUCCUUAGUACGCAUUACCAGGCUAACUCAUCUCCCCACCACCUUUCCAUUUAAAGCCCUCAGUUUGUGGGCACCUGGAUAAUCUUUUUAAUUUAAGUUGGAUCCUAUUAGCUAGGAUCUUGUUGAGAAUCUUAGUAUCCAUAUUCAUCAGGGAUAUUGGUCUGAAAUUCUCCUUUUUGGUGGGGUCUUUGCCUGGCUUG